Molecule: ribosomal RNA, 457 nt
Filed under: uncultured bacterium
Lineage: Bacteria
Description: bacterial SSU rRNA
Rfam family: Bacterial small subunit ribosomal RNA
Source: RNAcentral
CGGAGGCAGCAGUGGGGAAUUUUGCGCAAUGGACGGAAGUCUGACGCAGCAACGCCGCGUGAGGGAUGAAGGUCUUCGGAUUGUAAACCUCUGUUGAUUGGGAAGAAUAACGUCGCGGACAAUAACCGCGAGGGAUGACGGUACCAGUCGAGGAAGCCCCGGCUAACUACGUGCCAGCAGCCGCGGUAAUACGUAGGGGGCAAGCGUUGUUCGGAAUUACUGGGCGUAAAGGGAGCGUAGGCGGGUUCAUAAGUUAGGAGUGAAAUCCAUAGGCUUAACCUGUGGGUUGCUUUUAAUACUGUGAAUCUUGAGUAUUGGAGAGGAUGAUGGAAUUCCAGGUGUAGCGGUGGAAUGCGUAGAUAUCUGGAAGAACACCAGUUGCGUAGGCGGUCAUCUGGCCAAAUACUGACGCUGAGGCUCGAAAGCUAGGGGAGCAAACAGGAUUAGAUACCCCGGU